This 464-nucleotide ribosomal RNA is filed under the name uncultured bacterium. Its description in RNAcentral is "bacterial SSU rRNA". It matches the Rfam family "Bacterial small subunit ribosomal RNA", at positions 339 to 794 of the family's 1533-position model. The record is from RNAcentral.
GUACGGGAGGCAGCAGUGGGGAAUCUUGCGCAAUGGACGAAAGUCUGACGCAGCGAUGCCGCGUGGGGGAUGAAGGCUUUCGGGUCGUAAACCCCUUUGAGUGGGAAAGAAACGCCGCGGGGUAAAUAAUCCCGCGGCCUGACGGUACCCACAGAACAAGCCACGGCUAACUCUGUGCCAGCAGCCGCGGUAAGACAGAGGUGGCGAGCGUUGUUCGGAUUUACUGGGCGUAAAGCGCGGGUAGGCGGUUCGGCAAGUUAGAUGUGAAAUCCCACCGCUUAACGGUGGAACGGCGUCUGAUACUGCCGAACUUGAGUGCAGGAGAGGAGGGUGGAAUUUCCGGUGUAGCGGUGAAAUGCGUAGAGAUCGGAAGGAACACCAGUGGCGAAGGCGGCCCUCUGGACUGCAACUGACGCUGAGACGCGAAAGCGUGGGGAGCAAACAGGAUUAGAUACCCCGGAAGU